RNAcentral lists this ribosomal RNA (436 nucleotides) under uncultured fungus. RNAcentral describes it as "eukaryotic LSU rRNA". The stretch from base 1 to 125 matches the Rfam family "5.8S ribosomal RNA", at positions 30 to 154 of the family's 154-position model. The record is from RNAcentral. Lineage: Eukaryota; Fungi.
GCAUCGAUGAAGAACGCAGCCAGCUGCGAUACGUAAUGUGAAUUGCAGAAUUCAGUGAAUCAUCGAAUCUUUGAACGCAAAUUGCACUUCCGGGCACUCCCGGGAGUACGUCUGCCUGAGUGCCAUCUUAUACAACUCGCCACGCCGUGAGAGCGGUUCGAUGGCGGAGAUGGCCGUCCGGGGGAGCGCCUCUUCUGAAGAGGCGGUCUGCCGGUCGGCUGAAGGAUGGCGACGCUGCCUGCACCCUGGAAGGAGCUGGGCCGUCACCCAAGCGGUAAGCCAUCCUGCGUUGCUACAACGGAGGACGCGACCUUGGGGGCCCUUUCGCUCGAUACUCUCCUGACCGCGGCGGGCGUCACAGAAACAGCACUUCAACUUCUGGCCUCAGAUCAGUCGAGACUACCCGCUGAAUUUAAGCAUAUCAAUAAGCGGAGGA